AAUGAACGCUGGCGGCGUGGUUUAGGCAUGCAAGUCGCACGGGCAGUAGCAAUAUUGCUAGUGGCGACCUGGUCAGUACAAGUUGGGUUACGUGCCUGGAAGUGGGGGAUAACUCCGAGAAAUCGGGGCUAAUACCGCAUGUGGAGGAAACUCCAAAGCAGCAAUGCGCUUCCGGAUCGGCCCGACUCCCAUUAGCUAGUUGGCGAGGUAAAGGCUCACCAAGGCUACGAUGGGUAGGUGGUGUGAGAGCAUGGACGCCGACACGAGGACUGAGAUACGGCCUCGACUCCUACGGGGGGCAGCAGUCUAGAAGCUUCGACAAUA
Molecule: ribosomal RNA, 324 nt
Filed under: uncultured bacterium
Lineage: Bacteria
Description: bacterial SSU rRNA
Rfam family: Bacterial small subunit ribosomal RNA
Source: RNAcentral